GGGUCAGUAGGUCGGUCGUGCCACCGGUACGUACUGGUCUCACUGAUUCCUCCUUCCUGAAGAACCGUAAUGCCAUUAAUUUGGUUUUGCGGGGAAACAGGACUGUUACUUUGAAAAAAUUAGAGUGUUUAAAGCAAGCUAACGCUUGAAUACAUUAGCAUGGAAUAAUGAAAUAGGACGAUCGAUCCUAUUUUGUUGGUUUCUAGGAUUGACGUA
This 216-nucleotide ribosomal RNA is filed under the name Glomeromycotina sp. RNAcentral's name for it is "partial small subunit ribosomal RNA". The stretch from base 40 to 216 matches the Rfam family "Eukaryotic small subunit ribosomal RNA", at positions 686 to 864 of the family's 1831-position model. The record is from RNAcentral. Lineage: Eukaryota; Fungi; Glomeromycota.